This 1236-nucleotide ribosomal RNA is filed under the name Candidatus Phytoplasma cynodontis. RNAcentral's name for it is "bacterial SSU rRNA". It matches the Rfam family "Bacterial small subunit ribosomal RNA", at positions 164 to 1399 of the family's 1533-position model. Lineage: Bacteria; Bacillati; Mycoplasmatota; Mollicutes; Acholeplasmatales; Acholeplasmataceae. The record is from RNAcentral.
UAAGACUGGAUAGGAAAUAAAAAGGCAUCUUUUUAUUUUUAAAAGACCUUUUUCGGAAGGUAUGCUUAAAGAGGGGCUUGCGUCACAUUAGUUAGUUGGCAGGGUAAAGGCCUACCAAGACUAUGAUGUGUAGCUGGACUGAGAGGUUGAACAGCCACAUUGGGACUGAGACACGGCCCAAACUCCUACGGGAGGCAGCAGUAGGGAAUUUUCGGCAAUGGAGGAAACUCUGACCGAGCAACGCCGCGUGAACGAUGAAGUAUUUCGGUAUGUAAAGUUCUUUUAUUGAAGAAGAAAAAAUAGUGGAAAAACUAUCUUGACGAUAUUCAAUGAAUAAGCCCCGGCAAACUAUGUGCCAGCAGCCGCGGUAAUACAUAGGGGGCGAGCGUUAUCCGGAAUUAUUGGGCGUAAAGGGUGCGUAGGCGGUUUAAUAAGUCUAUAGUUUAAUUUCAGUGCUUAACACUGUCCUGCUAUAGAAACUAUUAGACUAGAGUGAGAUAGAGGCAAGUGGAAUUCCAUGUGUAGCGGUAAAAUGCGUAAAUAUAUGGAGGAACACCAGAGGCGUAGGCGGCUUGCUGGGUCUUUACUGACGCUGAGGCACGAAAGCGUGGGGAGCAAACAGGAUUAGAUACCCUGGUAGUCCACGCCGUAAACGAUGAGUACUAAGUGUCGGGAUUACUCGGUACUGAAGUUAACACAUUAAGUACUCCGCCUGAGUAGUACGUACGCAAGUAUGAAACUUAAAGGAAUUGACGGGACUCCGCACAAGCGGUGGAUCAUGUUGUUUAAUUCGAAGAUACACGAAAAACCUUACCAGGUCUUGACAUACUCUGCAAAGCUAUAGCAAUAUAGUGGAGGUUAUCAGAGAUACAGGUGGUGCAUGGUUGUCGUCAGCUCGUGUCGUGAGAUGUUAGGUUAAGUCCUAAAACGAGCGCAACCCUUGUCAUUAGUUGCCAGCAUGUCAUGAUGGGCACUUUAAUGAGACUGCCAAUGAAAAAUUGGAGGAAGGUGAGGAUCACGUCAAAUCAUCAUGCCCCUUAUGAUCUGGGCUACAAACGUGAUACAAUGGCUGUUACAAAGAGUAGCUGAAACGCAAGUUUAUAGCCAAUCUCAUAAAAGCAGUCUCAGUUCGGAUUGAAGUCUGCAACUCGACUUCAUGAAGUUGGAAUCGCUAGUAAUCGCGAAUCAGCAUGUCGCGGUGAAUACGUUCACGGGGUUUGUACACACCGCCCGUCA